AAGUCGUAACAAGGUCUCCGUUGGUGAACCAGCGGAGGGAUCAUUACCGAGUUUACAACUCCCAAACCCUUUGUGAACCUUACCUAUCGUUGCUUCGGCGGGACCGCCCCGGCGCCUUCAAACCGCGCCGGAACCAGGCACCCGCCGGAGGUAUACAAACUCUUGUUUUAUCCAGUAUCUCUGAGUGGCGAAAGCAAAAAUAAAUCAAAACUUUCAACAACGGAUCUCUUGGUUCUG
This 237-nucleotide unclassified non-coding RNA is filed under the name fungal sp. Its description in RNAcentral is "partial internal transcribed spacer region". The stretch from base 1 to 46 matches the Rfam family "Eukaryotic small subunit ribosomal RNA", at positions 1786 to 1831 of the family's 1831-position model. The record is from RNAcentral. Lineage: Eukaryota; Fungi.